ACAAGCAACCGCUCCAUCCUGCCUCCUCGACACCUCCAGCGCGUCGCUGCCUCCUGCCACGCCCCACCCUGCCUCACCGCGCGCCGCUGGCCGCCGCCGCCCACCUCGCUGGCGCGCCUACCCCUACCCCGAGUGCCCCCACACCCGCAGCCUUCCACUGCCGGCGACCCGUGGCCUGCCACCGCCGACGACGAGGAACUGUCGGAUCUCGAUGAAUCCGGUGAGGACGGCGCGUAGGCAGCGAAUCUGGAAGGAAGGCGGCCGGGGCUUGAAGCACGACGGCUGGACGGCACACCAUGGCAUUGGGGGGAGGGGGGCGUCCGAUGCUCCGCCCGUUUGUGUCCGCGCGAGGAGCUCACCCCCAAAGAACUCCUCGGGCGUCCUGCGGGCCCAGGCCGGAGGCGGCAGUUCCCAGCGCGGGGGCCGACAGGAAGGUGCCGAUUCGGAUCUGCGGGGCUGACAACGCGCCUGGCGCCGACGGGGAACGCGGGAGGGCAGCAGCUCACGGACGAGGAGGCCCCCGCGGCGUGGGGGGGCCUCGAGGCCGGCGCGGGCGGCGGGAGGGGGGACUCGCCGUACCAGGGCUAUGAGGUGCAGCGUCUGGCGAGGUGGGUGGACCACGCGCUGCCCUUCUCCCUGCUCCUCCUCGGCGUCUUCAUCCGCCAGCACCUGCAAGAGAGUUGCUGGUCAGAAGAUGAUGGCGAGUUCCUCAUUCCAAUUGAGUUUAUAUUGUGUAGGUUUCUUCGUAAUGAUUUGGAUUACCGCAGUCAUGUUCAAGUCCAAUGAUAUCUUGCGCAAGCAGACCGCUCUUAAGGCUACAAGGUUGGGGGAGCGACCCUGCCAUUGUCAUGACGGCUGCUCCUUCUGGCCGGAUCGAGGCAUGAAGACCUGUGGGAUCCCCUCCUUCGGCAGGACCUCCUCAUCUGGAGGACUGCAUGUGAUGAGUUAAGGCACAAGAAGAUCUACGACCAUUUUAGCUCCAGCAGUUAGUACACAACCAAUCAACAGUGCAUUUUCACGACCCAGGCUUCUGAAUUCUGACUGACAGGCUCGCAGGCACAGCCACAUCUAAUCUCACGCAUUCAAAAUGCUAGCUACAUGAAAUACGCCCAGAUUUACGAGUAGAAAUCCAAGGCAUUGCAGUCCAAUUGUUCUAAGGAUUGGAACCAGACGUGUGGCUCAAUACUGCUUGGAACAUCUAGAGGACCUUUGCAAUCUUAUCAAGCUUGACGCUAAACUGGCACUCUUACUUGAUCCCAUAUUACUCCUUCGAACAAUUUGUGCGCAAAGUUGAGGAAAUUGGGGCCAAUAAUCGUGUUAGAAUAAACUUCUUUCUUUCUUUUUCCAUACUGUGGGGCAACAGGAUCUGAGUCCCACUACAUCGCCCUUUGAGAGCAUGGACCACCGAAUGGAAGAAGAUGCCAUCCUUGACUGUCGUUGUCUUUGGCAUGUUGCUACCAUUUUUUUAAUCCUUGCACUGCAGAGACCUCAGUCUAUCCAUGGAUUUGCUAGGAAAAACCAUCUCCGGAAAAAUAGGGCCAAAUUUGAAUUCUAAUAGAGUUGAAGAGACAUAGAGAAAGAGACAGGGAUAAUACUUCCUUGUGGGCUUCCUGAGAAUCUACAAUGAAGAAUAAGAAGGGUGUAGUAACUAAGUAUGCAUGUCAUAACUAAUUCUAUUGAAAAUAGUUAUUCAGGAAAAUUAAGCUAUAUUGAAAUGUUGCAUGAUUCAGAUAUUGGGUCUAUGAAGAUUUGUUUAUGCCAUAAAAAUGCAUAAAUAAAGUCUCGUGUGGCUAUGUAAUUCACUUGUUAUAUGUCAAGUUCGAGCUCCUAAGAACAGGGUGAAACUGUUUGUUCCGAAGAACAGA
This is a long non-coding RNA of Triticum aestivum (bread wheat), 1865 nucleotides long. RefSeq lists it as uncharacterized. NCBI's taxonomy places the organism in Eukaryota, Viridiplantae, Streptophyta, Magnoliopsida, Poales, Poaceae. The record is from RefSeq and is a predicted model, not a curated record. The transcript has 8 exons.